Molecule: ribosomal RNA, 253 nt
Filed under: uncultured bacterium
Lineage: Bacteria
Description: partial 16S ribosomal RNA
Rfam family: Bacterial small subunit ribosomal RNA
Source: RNAcentral
UACGUAGGGUGCGAGCGUUAAUCGGAAUUACUGGGCGUAAAGCGUGCGCAGGCGGUUCGCCGUGUCCUGUGUGAAAUCCCCGGGCUCAACCUGGGAAUGGCAUGGGAAACUGGCGGGCUGGAGUGUGGCAGAGGGGGGUGGAAUUCCGCGUGUAGCAGUGAAAUGCGUAGAGAUGCGGAGGAACACCGAUGGCGAAGGCAGCCCCCUGGGCCAACACUGACGCUCAGGCACGAAAGCGUGGGGAGCAAACAGG